GAGGGGCGGCAGGGUAGCCUAGUGGUUAGAGUGGAGGGGCGGCAGGGUAGCCUAGUGGUUAGAGUGGAGAGGUGGUAGGUAGCCUAGUGGUUAGAGUGGAGAGGUGGUAGGGUAGUCUAGUGGUUAGAGUGUAGAGGUGGCAGGGUAGCCUAGUGGUUAGAGUGUAGAGGAGGCAGGGUAGCCUAGUGGUUAGAGUGGAGAGGUGGCAGGGUAGCCUAGUGGUUAGAGUGUAGAGGAGGCAGGGUAGCCUAGUGGUUAGAGUGUAGAGGAGGCAGGUAGCCUAGUGGUUAGAGUGUAGAGGCGGCAGGGUAGCCUAGUGGUUAGAGUGUAGAGGUGGCAGGUAGCCUAGUGGUUAGAGUGUAGAGGUGGCAGGUAGCCUAGUGGUUAGAGUGUAGAGGUGGCAGGUAGCCUAGUGGUUAGAGUGUAGAGGUGGCAGGGUAGCCUAGUGGUUAGAGUGUAGAGGUGGCAGGGUAGCCUAGUGGUUAGAGUGUAGAGGUGGCAGGGUAGCCUAGUGGUUAGAGUGUAGAGGUGGCAGGGUAGCCUAGUGGUUAGAGUGGAGGGGCGGCAGGGUAGCCUAGUGGUUAGAGUGGAGGGGCGGC
Long non-coding RNA from Oncorhynchus tshawytscha (Chinook salmon), 599 nucleotides. Lineage: Eukaryota; Metazoa; Chordata; Actinopteri; Salmoniformes; Salmonidae. The record is from Ensembl.